This 253-nucleotide ribosomal RNA is filed under the name uncultured bacterium. RNAcentral's name for it is "partial 16S ribosomal RNA". It matches the Rfam family "Bacterial small subunit ribosomal RNA", at positions 524 to 776 of the family's 1533-position model. The record is from RNAcentral.
UACAGAGGCCUCGAGCGUUAGGCGGAACCACUGGGCUUAAAGCGUGUGUAGGCGGAUUGCUAAGUACCUUGUGAAAUCCCACGGCUUAACCGUGGAACUGCUUGGUAUACUGGCUGUCUUGAGCCACUUAGGGGCGACCGGAACAAACGGUGGAGCGGUGAAAUGCGUAGAUAUCGUUUGGAACGCCAAAGGUGAAAACAGGUCGCUGGGAGUGUGCUGACGCUGAGACACGAAAGCCAGGGGAGCAAACGGG